GGGUUGUGAGGUUAAGCGACUAAGCGUACACGGUGGAUGCCCUGGCAGUCAGAGGCGAUGAAGGACGUGCUAAUCUGCGAAAAGCGCCGGUAAGGUGAUAUGAACCGUUAUAACCGGCGAUGUCCGAAUGGGGAAACCCAGUGCAAUCCGUUGCACUAUCGUUAACUGAAUACAUAGGUGAGGCGAACCGGGGAACUGAAACAUCUAAGUACCCCGAGGAAAAGAAAUCAACCGAGAUUCCCCAGUAGCGGCGAGCGAACGGGGACAGCCAGAGCCUGAUCAGCCUGAGUGUUAGUGGAAGCGUCUGGAAAGUCGCGCGAUACAGGGUGACAGCCCCGUACACAAAAGCACUCUUGCUUGUGAGCUCGAUGAGUAGGGCGGGACACGUGGUAUCCUGUCUGAAUAUGGGGGGGACCAUCCUCCAAGGCUAAAUACUCCUGACUGACCGAUAGUGAACCAGUACCGUGAGGGAAAGGCGAAAAGAACCCCGGCGAGGGGAGUGAAACAGAACCUGAAACCGUGUACGUACAAGCAGUGGGAGCCUCUUUUAUGGGGUGACUGCGUACCUUUUGUAUAAUGGGUCAGCGACUUAUAUUCUGUAGCAAGGUUAACCGUAUAGGGGAGCCGCAGGGAAACCGAGUCUUAACUGGGCGUUAAGUUGCAGGGUAUAGACCCGAAACCCGGUGAUCUAGCCAUGGGCAGGUUGAAGGUUGGGUAACACUAACUGGAGGACCGAACCGACUAAUGUUGAAAAAUUAGCGGAUGACCUGUGGCUGGGGGUGAAAGGCCAAUCAAACCGGGAGAUAGCUGGUUCUCCCCGAAAGCUAUUUAGGUAGCGCCUCGUGAAUUCAUCUCCGGGGGUAGAGCACUGUUUCGGCUAGGGGGCCAUCCCGGCUUACCAACCCGAUGCAAACUACGAAUACCGGAGAAUGUUAUCACGGGAGACACACGGCGGGUGCUAACGUCCGUCGUGAAGAGGGAAACAACCCAGACCGCCAGCUAAGGUCCCAAAGUCAUGGUUAAGUGGGAAACGAUGUGGGAAGGCACAGACAGCCAGGAUGUUGGCUUAGAAGCAGCCAUCAUUUAAAGAAAGCGUAAUAGCUCACUGGUCGAGUCGGCCUGCGCGGAAGAUGUAACGGGGCUAAACCAUGCACCGAAGCUGCGGCAGCGACACUAUGUGUUGUUGGGUAGGGGAGCGUUCUGUAAGCCGUCGAAGGUGGCCUGUGAGGGCUGCUGGAGGUAUCAGAAGUGCGAAUGCUGACAUAAGUAACGAUAAAGCGGGUGAAAAGCCCGCUCGCCGGAAGACCAAGGGUUCCUGUCCAACGUUAAUCGGGGCAGGGUGAGUCGACCCCUAAGGCGAGGCCGAAAGGCGUAGUCGAUGGGAAACAGGUUAAUAUUCCUGUACUUGGUGUUACUGCGAAGGGGGGACGGAGAAGGCUAUGUCGGCCGGGCGACGGUUGUCCCGGUUUAAGCGUGUAGGUGUGUGUUCCAGGUAAAUCCGGUUCACUUUAACACUGAGGCGUGAUGACGAGGCACUACGGUGCUGAAGUGACAAAUGCCCUGCUUCCAGGAAAAGCCUCUAAGCAUCAGGUAACACGAAAUCGUACCCCAAACCGACACAGGUGGUCAGGUAGAGAAUACCAAGGCGCUUGAGAGAACUCGGGUGAAGGAACUAGGCAAAAUGGUGCCGUAACUUCGGGAGAAGGCACGCUGGUGCGUAGGUGAAGUGACUUGCUCACGGAGCUGAAACCAGUCGAAGAUACCAGCUGGCUGCAACUGUUUAUUAAAAACACAGCACUGUGCAAACACGAAAGUGGACGUAUACGGUGUGACGCCUGCCCGGUGCCGGAAGGUUAAUUGAUGGGGUCAACCGCAAGGUGAAGCUCUUGAUCGAAGCCCCGGUAAACGGCGGCCGUAACUAUAACGGUCCUAAGGUAGCGAAAUUCCUUGUCGGGUAAGUUCCGACCUGCACGAAUGGCGUAAUGAUGGCCAGGCUGUCUCCACCCGAGACUCAGUGAAAUUGAACUCGCUGUGAAGAUGCAGUGUACCCGCGGCAAGACGGAAAGACCCCGUGAACCUUUACUAUAGCUUGACACUGAACAUUGAGCCUUGAUGUGUAGGAUAGGUGGGAGGCUUUGAAGCGUGGACGCCAGUCUGCGUGGAGCCAACCUUGAAAUACCACCCUUUAAUGUUUGAUGUUCUAACGUGGACCCGUGAUCCGGGUUGCGGACAGUGUCUGGUGGGUAGUUUGACUGGGGCGGUCUCCUCCUAAAGCGUAACGGAGGAGCACGAAGGUCAGCUAAUCCUGGUCGGACAUCAGGAGGUUAGUGCAAUGGCAUAAGCUGGCUUGACUGCGAGCGUGACGGCGCGAGCAGGUGCGAAAGCAGGUCAUAGUGAUCCGGUGGUUCUGAAUGGAAGGGCCAUCGCUCAACGGAUAAAAGGUACUCCGGGGAUAACAGGCUGAUACCGCCCAAGAGUUCAUAUCGACGGCGGUGUUUGGCACCUCGAUGUCGGCUCAUCACAUCCUGGGGCUGAAGUAGGUCCCAAGGGUAUGGCUGUUCGCCAUUUAAAGUGGUACGCGAGCUGGGUUUAGAACGUCGUGAGACAGUUCGGUCCCUAUCUGCCGUGGGCGCUGGAGAAUUGAGGGGGGCUGCUCCUAGUACGAGAGGACCGGAGUGGACGCAUCACUGGUGUUCGGGUUGUCAUGCCAAUGGCACUGCCCGGUAGCUAAAUGCGGAAGAGAUAAGUGCUGAAAGCAUCUAAGCACGAAACUUGCCCCGAGAUGAGUUCUCCCUGAGACUUUAAGUCUCCUGAAGGAACGUUGAAGACGACGACGUUGAUAGGCCGGGUGUGUAAGCGCAGCGAUGCGUUGAGCUAACCGGUACUAAUGAACCGUGAGGCUUAACCUUACAACGCCGAAG
Molecule: ribosomal RNA, 2921 nt
Filed under: Kosakonia cowanii
Lineage: Bacteria; Pseudomonadati; Pseudomonadota; Gammaproteobacteria; Enterobacterales; Enterobacteriaceae
Description: bacterial LSU rRNA
Rfam family: Bacterial large subunit ribosomal RNA
Source: RNAcentral